UUCGGGGUGAAGCUCGUGGAACGAGCGGCGGACGGGUGAGUAACACGUGGGCAACCUGCCUGUAAGAUCGGAAUAACCCCGGGAAACCGGGGCUAAUGCCGGGUAAUACUUUUCUUCGCAUGAAGAUGAGUUGAAAGAUGGCUUCUCGCUAUCACUUACAGAUGGGCCCGCGGCGCAUUAGCUAGUUGGUGAGGUAACGGCUCACCAAGGCAACGAUGCGUAGCCGACCUGAGAGGGUGAUCGGCCACACUGGGACUGAGACACGGCCCAGACUCCUACGGGAGGCAGCAGUAGGGAAUCUUCCGCAAUGGACGAAAGUCUGACGGAGCAACGCCGCGUGAACGAUGAAGGUCUUCGGAUCGUAAAGUUCUGUUGUCAGGGAAGAACAAGUACCGUGCGAAUAGAGCGGUACCUUGACGGUACCUGACGAGGAAGCCCCGGCUAACUACGUGCCAGCAGCCGCGGUAAUACGUAGGGGGCAAGCGUUGUCCGGAAUUAUUGGGCGUAAAGCGCGCGCAGGCGGUUCCUUAAGUCUGAUGUGAAAGCCCACGGCUCAACCGUGGAGGGUCAUUGGAAACUGGGGAACUUGAGGACAGAAGAGGAGAGUGGAAUUCCACGUGUAGCGGUGAAAUGCGUAGAUAUGUGGAGGAACACCAGUGGCGAAGGCGACUCUCUGGUCUGUUUCUGACGCUGAGGUGCGAAAGCGUGGGUAGCAAACAGGAUUAGAUACCCUGGUAGUCCACGCCGUAAACGAUGAGUGCUAGGUGUUAGGGGGCUUCCACCCCUUAGUGCUGAAGUAACGCA
Molecule: ribosomal RNA, 804 nt
Filed under: Halobacillus kuroshimensis
Lineage: Bacteria; Bacillati; Bacillota; Bacilli; Caryophanales; Bacillaceae
Description: bacterial SSU rRNA
Rfam family: Bacterial small subunit ribosomal RNA
Source: RNAcentral